GACGAACGCUGGCGGCGUGCUUAACACAUGCAAGUCGAACGGAAAGGCCCUGCUUUUGUGGGGUGCUCGAGUGGCGAACGGGUGAGUAACACGUGAGUAACCUGCCCUUGACUUUGGGAUAACUUCAGGAAACUGGGGCUAAUACCGGAUAGGAGCUCCUGCUGCAUGGUGGGGGUUGGAAAGUUUCGGCGGUUGGGGAUGGACUGGGGGCUUAUCAGCUUGUUGGUGGGGUAGUGGCUUACCAAGGCUUUGACGGGUAGCCGGCCUGAGAGGGUGACCAGGCACAUUGGGACUGAGAUACGGACCAGAGUCCUACGGGAGGCAGCAGUGGGGAAUAUUGCACAAUGGGCGGAAGCCUGAUGCAGAAACGCCGCGUGCGGGAUGAAGGCCUUCGGGGUGUAAACCGCUUUCGCCUGUGACGAAGCGGGAGUGACGGUAAUGGGUAAAGAAGCACCGGCUAACUACGUG
This 468-nucleotide ribosomal RNA is filed under the name uncultured bacterium. Its description in RNAcentral is "partial 16S ribosomal RNA". It matches the Rfam family "Bacterial small subunit ribosomal RNA", at positions 28 to 507 of the family's 1533-position model. The record is from RNAcentral.